Molecule: ribosomal RNA, 471 nt
Filed under: uncultured bacterium
Lineage: Bacteria
Description: bacterial SSU rRNA
Rfam family: Bacterial small subunit ribosomal RNA
Source: RNAcentral
GAUGAACGCUGGCGGCGUGCUUAACACAUGCAAGUCGAACGAGCAACUUCGGUUGCGAGUGGCGGACGGGUGAGUAACGCGUGGGUAACCUACCUUAUACAGGGGGAUAACAGCGGGAAACUGCUGUUAAUACCGCAUAAGCGCACGGAAUCGCAUGAUUCAGUGUGAAAAGCUCCGACGGUAUAAGAUGGACCCGCGUCUGAUUAGCUAGUUGGUGAGGUAACGGCCCACCAAGGCGACGAUCAGUAGCCGACUUGAGAGAGUGACCGGCCACAUUGGGACUGAGACACGGCCCAAACUCCUACGGGAGGCAGCAGUGGGGAAUAUUGCACAAUGGGCGAAAGCCUGAUGCAGCGACGCCGCGUGAGUGAUGAAGUAUUUCGGUAUGUAAAGCUCUAUCAGCAGGGAAGAAAAUGACGGUACCUGACUAAGAAGCCCCGGCUAAAUACGUGCCAGCAGCCGCCGUAAUAC